GCACUGCUUCGUUCUUACUCUCUUUUACAUUUUUUUCUGAAAAAAUAGAGAGUCGAAGUUCCUGAUCUGGGCGUUCUAACCAGAGAAGGAGUUUCAUCCCGGUCGCACUCUAACGGCUGCGAUGCAGCUCAGCUCUGUGCUGGUGGCAGCAGCACACGCAGAUGUGAGCACAGCUGUACGGAGAAAGGAAAUGAACCCGACGUUUGUUACGGAGUAGGGAGUCGGUGGGAAGAGCCGCAGGCGCUGUGCCCCGGGAGCAGCCCCGCCGCACGCAGCCGCCCGCCCCAGCGGGUGAUGCGGGGCUGCGGGACCUUGUGGAGCGUGCGGAAACACCGACCUCAGAGCACUGCGGGAAUUACAGCCUGCAGGAGGCUCGUCGUCUCGAUGUAGCUUCUGGCAUCGCUAGCCUGUCCCAAAGAGGAAUUUACCUGAUUCCUGGUGACCAAACAACAAAAACAAGGCUAUGAGACAGCUGACGAAAAUGACAUGAAAUCUAUGAAGAAAUAUGAUGUUUAGAAGAUCUCGAGAGGUGCAUCCCACAGAGAAAAGACACAGUGAAUUUGAAUGGGGUUUGGGAGAUGCUGCUGGGUAAAGUCCAAGCGUGUUGUUUCUAAAGGUACAAGAGCCACAGCCAUCACUGGUGCCUUAGGAACUUGCAGAACUUCUCUCUGAGAGUAAACAUCCUGUCUUCCCCAUCCUGUUGCACUGAGCACAGUGGAGUGACAGUUCUACCAUCAGAAGCUGAGUGUGUGGAGUUCUCCCUGGGAUUCUCCCAGGCAGUGGAUUAGACAUCGCUCUCGCUUCCUACCUUGCACCUGCAGGGUAUGGGAAGCAAUUGCUCAUGGUGCUUCUGCAUCACAAUGACUGUGCUCCCAGAGUUGAGGGGGAACAUGUUGACGAUUUUGUCUGUACAUCCAUUGCAAUGAACCUCAUCAAUGCCCACUGUUGCCUUAAAACAAAAGUGUUUUAUCUUAUCGGUGAAGUUUUUUUUUUUUUAAUUCCUUAUGCAAACAUUCAAGGUCAGGAUUGAUGGGGCUCUGAGCAAUCCGAUUAGUUGAAGAUGUCCCUGCUAAUUGCAGAACUAGAAGACCUUUAAAGGUCCCUUCCAACCCAAACUGUUCUAUGAUAAAAAAUAAAUACAUGCAUACAGAA
This is a long non-coding RNA of Apus apus (common swift), 1152 nucleotides long. RefSeq lists it as uncharacterized. The record is from RefSeq and is a predicted model, not a curated record. The transcript is spliced from 2 exons. NCBI's taxonomy places the organism in Eukaryota, Metazoa, Chordata, Aves, Apodiformes, Apodidae.